RNAcentral lists this ribosomal RNA (427 nucleotides) under uncultured bacterium. RNAcentral describes it as "partial 16S ribosomal RNA". It matches the Rfam family "Bacterial small subunit ribosomal RNA", at positions 355 to 774 of the family's 1533-position model. The record is from RNAcentral.
UGGGGAAUAUUGGACAAUGGGCGAAAGCCUGAUCCAGCCAUGCCGCGUGUGUGAAGAAGGUCUUCGGAUUGUAAAGCACUUUAAGUUGGGAGGAAGGGCAUUAACCUAAUACGUUAGUGUUUUGACGUUACCGACAGAAUAAGCACCGGCUAACUCUGUGCCAGCAGCCGCGGUAAUACAGAGGGUGCAAGCGUUAAUCGGAAUUACUGGGCGUAAAGCGCGCGUAGGUGGUUUGUUAAGUUGGAUAUGAAAUCCCCGGGCUCAACCUGGGAACUGCAUUCAAAACUGACUGACUAGAGUAUGGUAGAGGGUGGUGGAAUUUCCUGUGUAGCGGUGAAAUGCGUAGAUAUAGGAAGGAACACCAGUGGCGAAGGCGACCACCUGGACUAAUACUGACACUGAGGUGCGAAAGCGUGGGGAGCAAACA